AUGUUUUGCCUUUUCUUUUGCUCAUUGUUCCCUAAAGCCACAUAUUUGUUUUAUGAUUUUCCACCUUCACAUGCCAUUUCUUCUUAUUCUCCCCAGAUGCCUCAUUGCUAUGUCUCUCCCUUUUUUCUCCAGCAUCUUACUUGCUGUUGGAAGUCUGGCUUGACCCAAUGUGAGGCCCUCUUCUCCAUUCCAGAUCCAGGACACCAUUCCCUGAAGGAGCCAUCAGGGGCCUGUGGGAUAGAGGCCAUUGCUGGGGAUGCCCUGAUAGAGGUUCCCCAUGCUGUGAGCUCCCCCAGGCAAAGGCUGUACCUUUUGUUUUCCUCAGCACCUCUCUUAGAACCCAGAACAAUGUCCAGAGGAGAACAGGCAUUCAGACCCUAUUUCCAUCUCUAUUCUGGGACCAUGUGGAAUCAGAGAUAAAUUAG
RNAcentral lists this long non-coding RNA (425 nucleotides) under Sus scrofa (pig). RNAcentral describes it as "lncRNA (ENSSSCG00015003844.1)". Lineage: Eukaryota; Metazoa; Chordata; Mammalia; Artiodactyla; Suidae. The record is from RNAcentral.